RNAcentral lists this unclassified non-coding RNA (242 nucleotides) under Hevea brasiliensis (rubber tree). The record is from RNAcentral. Lineage: Eukaryota; Viridiplantae; Streptophyta; Magnoliopsida; Malpighiales; Euphorbiaceae.
GGGGGAAAAAAAAGGUACAGAAAAUGCAAACAAAUCAAGUAUAGAUUUAUAGGGUUGUGAGAAAAUAAUAAGAUCUCUUCUCCAAGAAUCUCAAACGGUACCAAAUACAAGAACUGGAAGUUCCAGAAUCAAAUCAAACAAACAAAGAUAGCCAUUAAAUUGAUGCAGCUCAAUUAAAUCUCAGGCGCUUUGGUCAUGUUAUCCUCCAAUUCCAGAUCCAAAAAGAUUAUCAAAAUUCUUUC